GCUGUCUGAUGAAAACGCAAUGACUUCAAUGACUGGCAUUUUACAUCUGCUUCUUUUCUGGCAAUGGUGAGAGACCUUUAUCAGUAUGACUUGCAGAAUUUCAAAAGUGGUUAAGCGAGCUCACUGAUUGUGUAAAAGACGAGUAGAGAUGAGGGCAAAUGUAUGUGUGAAAAAACAGUUACUGUACAUUGAUGUGACCAUUGCUUUCAUCAAAGCAAUCACUCACCAGCCAUAACAUGAGGUACCUGUCAUAAUCUAAUUGACAUCUUUUAUUGGAGCUCUGUCAAAAAUGUUGCAUUUCCAAAGAAAAUUAAAGGCGUCCAGACGCCAACCUGUGAAACUGAAAAAAGGUCUGCGUGUCAUGACGAAAAGGGGAGCUGCAACAUCCCCUCAUCCUUGUUGGAUGUUUGCUAUGAAACAACCAUGCUGGUAAAGAUAAAGAUAUGGAAAUGGAAGUUUGUGUUUGUGCAAAUACCUGUGGCUCCAAUGGAUGUGUGUGUGUGUGUGUGUGUGUGUGUG
Molecule: long non-coding RNA, 519 nt
Organism: Hippocampus comes (tiger tail seahorse)
Lineage: Eukaryota; Metazoa; Chordata; Actinopteri; Syngnathiformes; Syngnathidae
Exons: 3
Source: RefSeq, a predicted model, not a curated record